Molecule: transfer RNA, 77 nt
Filed under: Clostridia bacterium
Lineage: Bacteria; Bacillati; Bacillota; Clostridia
Also listed under: 1 other name
Description: tRNA-His
Rfam family: tRNA
About the family: Transfer RNA (tRNA) molecules are approximately 80 nucleotides in length.
Source: RNAcentral
GUGGGUAUAGCUCAGUUGGUUAGAGCGCCAGGUUGUGGCCCUGGAGGUCAUGGGUUCGACUCCCACUACUCACCCCA